This 460-nucleotide long non-coding RNA is filed under the name Pan troglodytes (chimpanzee). Its description in RNAcentral is "long non-coding RNA NONPTRT016052". Lineage: Eukaryota; Metazoa; Chordata; Mammalia; Primates; Hominidae. The record is from RNAcentral.
GUUCUUUUCUCUUUGAUGCCCUGACAAAUAAUUUUGAGCACUUAUCUGCCAAGUUGAGGCUGUGCCAGAUGUUGUGGACACAGCCCAGAGCAGAGCUGGUGGCCUCACUGCCCUAACAUGUACAAACCUGCAGGGAUGCAAGGUGCCCAGACUGUGCAAAGCAAUGGCAGCUGCAUGCAGUCCAGAGAGAGCACCUGGAGGCCGGGAAGACUUCCAAAAGAAAGUGAUACUUCCAAACAAAAGGAACAGGAAGUUGGCGUCUUGUCCGUCUGCCAUUCAAGAGGACUGAAUACGUUCCAUUAAAUUCGCCUGCAAACCUUUCCUGAAGAGCCCAGCAAGCAGCGAUGAAAAUUACAGAGUGGCUCCCAGGCACUUUAGUGGGUAAUCAGCUGAAAUUGAGCUGUUUUCCAUAUUCUUUGCUGAUAAUGCAAAAGGAACCUUUAAAACAAACAGCUCCAAG